GUGAGGAAUAUUGGUCAAUGGGCGAGAGCCUGAACCAGCCAAGUCGCGUGAAGGAAGAAGGAUCUAUGGUUCGUAAACUUCUUUUGCAGGGGAAUAAAGUGCGGGACGUGUCCUGUUUUGUAUGUACCCUGAGAAUAAGGAUCGGCUAACUCCGUGCCAGCAGCCGCGGUAAUACGGAGGAUCCGAGCGUUAUCCGGAUUUAUUGGGUUUAAAGGGUGCGUAGGUGGUUUGAUAAGUCAGCGGUGAAAGUUUGCAGCUUAACUGUAAAAAUGCCGUUGAAACUGUCGGACUUGAGUGUAAAUGAGGUAGGCGGAAUGCGUGGUGUAGCGGUGAAAUGCAUAGAUAUCACGCAGAACUCCGAUUGCGAAGGCAGCUUACUAAGCUACAACUGACACUGAAGCACGAAAGCGUGGGGAUCAAACAGGAUUAUAAACCCUGGUAGUCC
RNAcentral lists this ribosomal RNA (445 nucleotides) under uncultured bacterium. RNAcentral's name for it is "partial 16S ribosomal RNA". It matches the Rfam family "Bacterial small subunit ribosomal RNA", at positions 354 to 796 of the family's 1533-position model. The record is from RNAcentral.